This 524-nucleotide ribosomal RNA is filed under the name Pelobatrachus stejnegeri. RNAcentral's name for it is "Megophrys stejnegeri partial 16S ribosomal RNA". It matches the Rfam family "Bacterial large subunit ribosomal RNA", at positions 1857 to 2597 of the family's 2925-position model. The record is from RNAcentral. Lineage: Eukaryota; Metazoa; Chordata; Amphibia; Anura; Megophryidae.
GCCUGCCCAGUGACCACAAAUUCAACGGCCGCAGUAUUUUAACCGCGCGAAGGUAGCGUAAUCACUUGUUUUUUAAAUAAAGACUAGUAUGAACGGCCACACGAGGACUUAACUGUCUCCUUUAUCCAAUCAGUGAAACUGAUCUCCCCGUGAAGAAGCGGGGAUAACAUCAUAAGACGAGAAGACCCUAUGGAGCUUUAAACCUAAUCAACUAUCUCUUUUAUUUCCAAGGAACUAAUUAAUUUUAAGAUAUUAUUGACAUUGGUUUUAGGUUGGGGCGACCAUGAAGAAAAAAUUAACCUUCCUGACGACUCAUAAACUAAGAGCAACAGCUCUAAAUAUUAAGACACUUAACCAUCAUUGACCCAUUUUAUGAUCAACGAACCAAGUUACCCUAGGGAUAACAGCGCAAUCCAUUUUAAGAGUCCCUAUCGACAAAUGGGUUUACGACCUCGAUGUUGGAUCAGGGCACCCAAGUGGCGCAACCGCUACUAAAGGUUCGUUUGUUCAACGAUUAAAGCCCU